Non-coding RNA from Kogia breviceps (pygmy sperm whale), 2437 nucleotides. The record is from RefSeq and is a predicted model, not a curated record. Lineage: Eukaryota; Metazoa; Chordata; Mammalia; Artiodactyla; Physeteridae.
CCACUGCGCCACCAGGGAAGCCCCACAAUCUUAUUCUUUUGCUGAGUAAUUUUACAUAUGUUUUAGGGAACAUUGCUCCCUACAUGGAAGCCCAUUUCUGCUGCUACAGUUUUUAUUUUUGGUCAGCUUCUCUUUCAUCAGUGAAGUUAUGCAUCCAGGCGGUGUUUACCGGUCUUUUAGAAGUCACUUGACUUAGCCUUAGCUUGUGACAGGGCUCUGGGUACACUGUCAAGGAAACAGUCCCCCUACUGUGCCAGUUGGCUGGUUAUCUGUGGUUAUCAUGUGUAUAAAGCAUUUUUAUAAGUUCCCAGAACUCUCUGCUUAAAUGUCAGCUCAACAGAGAGGCCUCCCUGACCACCUCUAAAAUAGCAUCUGUCUCCUGUCUCUCCUCAUUCCUUUACCCUACUAUAUUUAUCUUCAGAGCACUUGUCACCACCUGACACAUUACAUAUUUAUUUGUUGACUCUCUGUCCCUCACCUUCAGAAUGCAAUCUUCAGGAGAGAAGGAGCUUGUCUAUUCCCUGCUAUAUUUCUGUUACCUCAAGUGGUCUCUAACACAUGGCAUUUUGGGAAUGACUGAACGAAAUGAAGGGGAGAAUAAAUGAAUUCUCCUGCUAUUAGUGAAGGGAGGAAGGGGGGCGGGCAAUUUAUACCCAGAGAAAUGGGAGGAGAGAUGGUGACUUGAACAGGAAGGACUCAGGGUAUGUUAGGUAUCUACACUCCAGCCACAGAGCAGAGGAGAAAGGUUCCCAACAUGAAGGCAGAGAUGACAGUAACAAAGGUAAUGAUGAUAGCAAGUCUGUGGCAGGGAUGGACUGCAGUUCACAAACCCGGGUGUGCAAGAAAAACACUUUACUUUCCAUAACUCAGGCCAGUUCUGCUUUUGAGGCUUGAUUUUGGCACAAUGGAGGCACUUAGCAGCAGUAGAAUUACUGUCCUGCUGCACCUUUGCCAGUAAUGGGAGGUAUAUGUUCCCUGCGGUGGGGUGGAGGGUUGACUUCAUCCACAGAUGGCUGCUCCUGCCUGUCUGCACGGACUGGAGAAGCUGGGGCCCAUCACUGUUCGGAGCCUGUCCCGCCAGGAUUUCUCAUUCAUCUGCUUUCUGACUCACCCACUGGGCUCUGUCACAAGUAGGUGAUUUCCCUACAACUAUGUUCUGCUUUUUAACCAUGCCUGUAAUUUCUGUUCUCAAUUCCACGGAGGACAUAUAGUGAUAAUGGUGGCCAUAGUAUUCCAAGACACUGUGAUCAGCAACUCCAGGAAUAUGCCUUCCAAUUCCCACAGCUUCUUAAAGAUCAAGAAAGGCUCUCAGGAAACAUUUCCCACAUCAUUACAGAUCUUCACAAAAAGUAAUUUCAGAGUUCUGGUUCCACCCAAGAUGGAAUAGUUACAUUCCUCUCAGGAUUCCCCUCUUACAACUAAAAAAUCCCUGCACACAACACAACAAACAAGCAUAAAAAGACUCUGAAAGAUAGAAGGCAGACUUCCUAAGAACAACAGGAAUUGAGAAAACAAUAGGUUUUUUUCCUGCCUCCCAUAUAUUCUGAAUGGAGCAUUGGUGAAGCCUGCAAAAUGGAAGCACUAACAAGAACAAUGAAAGAAAAAAAAGGCUCCAAGAAAAGCCUAUUCCUCCUGAACAAAGGACCAAGAAAAGAGAUGCAUAAGAGAACAGAAAACCUUUCUGAUGACACCUCCCCUACUCCAGCCAAACAACAGUGGAUAAAUAUCCCCACCCAAGUUUUCUGUCAGGCCCAAAAGGGAGCUAGUCUUCCAUUUCCCUGACAGCCUCAAGGAAACAGAAGUGAAGUUCUGAUUUAUCCAGCUGGUGGUGUUGGCAGGGCCAAAUAGGGAGCUAACCUUCUAUCUGCACCCAGCAGAAGCAGGCAGUGCUCUGAUUUUCCUGCUUUGGAGCUGUCAGUGGGGCCCACUGCGGAGCUGCACAUCUAUUUCCAUCUGGCAUCAGUGAAAUGGAAGGAGGCAGUUUGUGGGGGGACUAGACGGUCCAUCACAUCCCCCACCGUGGUGUCAGCUCAGCAGGGAGCUGAGCUACACCCCACUUGGAGACAAUGAGGUAGUGUGAGUCAGUGUUAACAGGGUUGUUGAACUUCCACCCCACUCCUUUGUACUCACAGGAGGUAUGAGUCACUGCUCAGCCUUUGUCAGGAUGCUGUCAACAGGGUCCAGCAGGGAGCUGAAAACCCACCCACACCUUGACCUGUAUGCUAUACCUGUAUGCUAAAACGGGUGACUGUCUGCCAAAAAAGUUAAAUAGGAUUCAGUGUCCCACAACAUAAUAAUCAAAAUGUCCAGAAUACAACUGAAAAUUACUCAUCAUACCAACAACCAAGAAAAUCACAAUUUGAGUUAGAGAGACAAUCAACAGAUAUCAACACUGAGAUGAUUCACAUGUUGGAAUUCUCUGACAAGAACUUUAAGG